AUAUAACUAGGCGGAGGAAAAGAAACUAACCAGGAUUCCCUUAGUAACGGCGAGUGAAGCGGGACAAGCUCAGACUGAAAAUCUUCGGAAUUGUAGUCUGGAGAAGUCAAAUCAGCUUUAAGUUUCGGAUAAAGUCUCUUGGAACAGAGCGCCGUGGAGGGUGAUAGCCCCGUUCAUGUCUGAAACGAAAAGUGUACGAUUGGCUUUCUAAGAGUCGAGUUGUUUGGGAUUGCAGCUCUAAGUGGGUGGUAAAUUCCAUCUAAAGCUAAAUAUAAAUGGGAGACCGAUAGCGAACAAGUACCGUGAGGGAAAGAUGCAAAGAACUUUGAAAAGAGAGUUAAAUAGUACCUGAAAUUGCUGAAAUGGAACCGAUGGGAGGCAGUGUUGGCUUGGUGGUACUUGUAUCAUCUAGCAAGUCAGGCUUCUUUAAUUAUGUGGGAAAAGCUUCUAGACCAGUUUGGGAUAGUUUUGCUGUCAUGUGAUUGAAGGACUCUGACGAAAUGCCUCUUAUCAU
Molecule: ribosomal RNA, 514 nt
Filed under: uncultured fungus
Lineage: Eukaryota; Fungi
Description: eukaryotic LSU rRNA
Rfam family: Eukaryotic large subunit ribosomal RNA
Source: RNAcentral